UGCCCUAGUAACGGCGAGUGAAGCGGCAACAGCUCAAAUUUGAAAUCUGGCGUCUUUGGCGUCCGAGUUGUAAUUUGCAGAGGGCGCUUUGGCAUUGGCAGCGGUCCAAGUUCCUUGGAACAGGACGUCACAGAGGGUGAGAAUCCCGUACGUGGUCGCUAGCCUUUACCGUGUAAAGCCCCUUCGACGAGUCGAGUUGUUUGGGAAUGCAGCUCUAAAUGGGAGGUAAAUUUCUUCUAAAGCUAAAUACUGGCCAGAGACCGAUAGCGCACAAGUAGAGUGAUCGAAAGAUGAAAAGCACUUUGGAAAGAGAGUUAAAAAGCACGUGAAAUUGUUGAAAGGGAAGCGCUUGCAGCCAGACUUGCCUGUAGUUGCUCAUCCGGGUUUUUACCCGGUGCACUCUUCUAUAGGCAGGCCAGCAUCAGUUUGGGCGGUUGGAUAAAGGUCUCUGUCAUGUACCUCUCUUCGGGGAGAACUUAUAGGGGAGACGACAUGCAACCAGCCUGGACUGAGGUCCGCGCAUCUGCUAGGAUGCUGGCGUAAUGGCUGUAAGCGGCCCGUCUUGAAACACGGACCAAGGAGUCUAACAUCUAUGCGAGUGUUUGGGUGUCAAGCCCGAGCGCGUAAUGAAAGUGAACGGAGGUGGGAACCUUUCGGGGUGCACCAUCGACCGAUCCUGAUGUCUUCGGAUGGAUUUGAGUAAGAGCAUAGCUGUUGGGACCCGAAAGAUGGUGAACUAUGCUUGAAUAGGGUGAAGCCAGAGGAAACUCUGGUGGAGGCUCGCAGCGGUUCUGACGUGCAAAUCGAUCGUCAAAUUUGGGCAUAGGGGCGAAAGACUAAUCGAAC
Molecule: ribosomal RNA, 846 nt
Filed under: Paraboeremia truiniorum
Lineage: Eukaryota; Fungi; Ascomycota; Dothideomycetes; Pleosporales; Didymellaceae
Description: partial large subunit ribosomal RNA
Rfam family: Eukaryotic large subunit ribosomal RNA
Source: RNAcentral